RNAcentral lists this ribosomal RNA (253 nucleotides) under uncultured bacterium. RNAcentral describes it as "partial 16S ribosomal RNA". It matches the Rfam family "Bacterial small subunit ribosomal RNA", at positions 524 to 776 of the family's 1533-position model. The record is from RNAcentral.
UACGUAGGGUGCGAGCGUUGUCCGGAAUUACUGGGCGUAAAGAGCUCGUAGGUGGUUUGUCGCGUUGUUCGUGAAAACCGGGGGCUUAACCCUCGGCGUGCGGGCGAUACGGGCAGACUUGAGUACUGCAGGGGAGACUGGAAUUCCUGGUGUAGCGGUGGAAUGCGCAGAUAUCAGGAGGAACACCAAUGGCGAAGGCAGAUCUCUGGGCCGUAACUGACGCUGAGGAGCGAAGGCAUGGGGAGCGAACAGG